RNAcentral lists this ribosomal RNA (429 nucleotides) under Actinomycetes bacterium. Its description in RNAcentral is "Actinobacteria bacterium partial 16S ribosomal RNA". It matches the Rfam family "Bacterial small subunit ribosomal RNA", at positions 355 to 776 of the family's 1533-position model. The record is from RNAcentral. Lineage: Bacteria; Bacillati; Actinomycetota; Actinomycetes.
UAGGGAAUCUUCCGCAAUGGGCGAAAGCCUGCCGGAGCAACGCCGCGUGAGUGAUGAAGGUCUUCGGAUCGUAAAACUCUGUUAUUAGGGAAGAACAAAUGUGUAAGUAACUAUGCACGUCUUGACGGUACCUAAUCAGAAAGCCACGGCUAACUACGUGCCAGCAGCCGCGGUAAUACGUAGGUGGCAAGCGUUAUCCGGAAUUAUUGGGCGUAAAGCGCGCGUAGGCGGUUUUUUAAGUCUGAUGUGAAAGCCCACGGCUCAACCGUGGAGGGUCAUUGGAAACUGGAAAACUUGAGUGCAGAAGAGGAAAGUGGAAUUCCAUGUGUAGCGGUGAAAUGCGCAGGGAUAUGGAGGAACACCAGUGGCGAAGGCGACUUUCUGGUCUGUAACUGACGCUGAUGUGCGAAAGCGUGGGGAUCAAACAGG